GAGUUUGAUCCUGGCUCAGAAUCAACGCUGGCGGCGUGCCUCAGACAUGCAAGUCGAACGCGAAAGACCCCUUCGGGGGUUGAGUAGAGUGGCGCACGGGUGAGUAACACGUGAGUAAUUUACCUUCUCGGUGGGGAAUAACAACCGGAAACGGUUGCUAAUACCGCAUAAUGCAGCGGCAUCUUCGGAUGACAGUUGUUAAAGCGGGGGAUCGGAGCAAUCCGACCUCGUGCCGGAAGAGAAGCUCGCGGCAGAUUAGGUAGUUGGUAGGGUAACGGCCUACCAAGCCUGCGAUCUGUAGCCGGCCUGAGAGGGCGGUCGGCCACACUGACACUGAACAUACGGGUCAGACUCCUACGGGAGGCAGCAGUCGGGAAUUUUGGGCAAUGGGCGCAAGCCUGACCCAGCAACGCCGCGUGAAGGACGAAGUUUUUCGGAAUGUAAACUUCACAAGACGGGGAAGAAUAAGUUAAGGCGAAUAACCUUAACGAUGACGGUACCCGUAGUAAGCUCCGGCUAACUCCGUGCCAGCAGCCGCGGUAAUACGGGGGGAGCAAGCGUUGUUCGGAUUUACUGGGCGUAAAGGGCGCGUAGGCGGUCGCUCAAGUCACUUGUGAAAUCUCCGGGCUCAACCCGGAGCGGCCAAGUGAUACUGGGCGACUAGAGUGCGGAAGGGGCAACCGGAAUUCUCGGUGUAGCGGUGAGAUGCGUAGAU
This 715-nucleotide ribosomal RNA is filed under the name uncultured bacterium. Its description in RNAcentral is "bacterial SSU rRNA". It matches the Rfam family "Bacterial small subunit ribosomal RNA", at positions 9 to 695 of the family's 1533-position model. The record is from RNAcentral.